Molecule: unclassified non-coding RNA, 377 nt
Filed under: uncultured Rickettsiales bacterium
Lineage: Bacteria; Pseudomonadati; Pseudomonadota; Alphaproteobacteria; Rickettsiales
Description: contains 16S-23S intergenic spacer region
Source: RNAcentral
UCCCACUUGUCAUGGGCAGUUUCUUUAGAGUCCCCAGCAUAACCUGAUGGUAACUAAAGAUGAGGGUUGCGCUCGUUGCGGGACUUAACCCAACAUCUCACGACACGAGCUGACGACAGCCAUGCAGCACCUGUCUCCGAUCCAGCCGAACUGAAGCUCUCAUUACAAGAGCGGCGAUCGGGAUGUCAAGAGCUGGUAAGGUUCUACGCGUAGCCUCGAAUUAAACCACAUGCUCCACCGCUUGUGCGGGUCCCCGUCAAUUCCUUUGAGUUUUAAUCUUGCGACCGUACUCCCCAGGCGGGGUGCUUAACGCGUUAGCUACGUCACCGAAACUAAUGUUCCAACGACUAGCACCCAUCGUUUAGGGCGUGGACUAC